UCGCUGAUGGAUGGACCCGCGGUGCAUUAGCUAGUUGGUGAGGUAACGGCUCACCAAGGCGACGAUGCAUAGCCGACCUGAGAGGGUGAUCGGCCACAUUGGGACUGAGACACGGCCCAAACUCCUACGGGAGGCAGCAGUAGGGAAUCUUCGGCAAUGGACGAAAGUCUGACCGAGCAACGCCGCGUGAGUGAAGAAGGUUUUCGGAUCGUAAAACUCUGUUGUUAGAGAAGAACAAGGAUGAGAGUAACUGUUCAUCCCUUGACGGUAUCUAACCAGAAAGCCACGGCUAACUACGUGCCAGCAGCCGCGGUAAUACGUAGGUGGCAAGCGUUGUCCGGAUUUAUUGGGCGUAAAGUGAGCGCAGGCGGUUUCUUAAGUCUGAUGUGAAAGCCCCCGGCUCAACCGGGGAGGGUCAUUGGAAACUGGGAGACUUGAGUGCAGAAGAGGAGAGUGGAAUUCCAUGUGUAGCGGUGAAAUGCGUAGAUAUAUGGAGGAACACCAGUGGCGAAGGCGGCUCUCUGGUCUGUAACUGACGCUGAGGCUCGAAAGCGUGGGGAGCAAACAGGAUUAGAUACCCUGGUAGUCCACGCCGU
This 596-nucleotide ribosomal RNA is filed under the name uncultured bacterium. RNAcentral describes it as "bacterial SSU rRNA". It matches the Rfam family "Bacterial small subunit ribosomal RNA", at positions 215 to 803 of the family's 1533-position model. The record is from RNAcentral.